RNAcentral lists this long non-coding RNA (374 nucleotides) under Mytilus galloprovincialis (Mediterranean mussel). The record is from RNAcentral. Lineage: Eukaryota; Metazoa; Mollusca; Bivalvia; Mytilida; Mytilidae.
AUUUAUUUUCGAUUUGAAAUCCCUUGAGGCACGUGUAGUAAUAUGAUACAGUAAUCACACAUUCAGCUGAAGACGGAUUCGCAAAAAAAGAAUCCCGAAUGGUCAACAAUAAUACAUCGCUCAAGGUGAAUAAUUAUCUAUUUUAACAUAACAACUAAUUUCAACAGUAAAAACAAAUAACAAAACAUUGUCCAAUUUGAAACAGGAGUGUACGAGUUGUCCUACGUUUCAGACUCGACAUUCACUAAACAUGCAUGCUGAAAUUGACAUGGUUGUUUUUGUUACACAAUCAUACACUUUCAAGUUGUCAUCGUAGAAAAGACUGCUGUUCAUGUGUGUAUGUUAUCAGAAAAUUUGUGUGAUUUUCAUUGCUC